CCUACGGGGGGCUGCAGUGGGGAAUAUUGGACAAUGGGCGAAAGCCUGAUCCAGCAAUGCCGCGUGAGUGAUGAAGGCCUUAGGGUUGUAAAGCUCUUUUACCAGGGAUGAUAAUGACAGUACCUGGAGAAUAAGCUCCGGCUAACUCCGUGCCAGCAGCCGCGGUAAUACGGAGGGAGCUAGCGUUGUUCGGAAUUACUGGGCGUAAAGCGCACGUAGGCGGUUUGUCAAGUCAGUGGUGAAAGCCCGGAGCUCAACUCCGGAAUUGGCCUUGAAACUGGAUGACUAGAAUCUUGGAGAGGUCAGUGGAAUUCCGAGAGUAGAGGUGAAAUUCGUAGAUAUUCGGAAGAACGGCAGUGGCGAAGGCGACUGACUGGACAAGUAUUGACGCUGAGGUGCGAAAGCGUGGGGAGCAAACAGGAUUAGAGACCCUGGUAGUC
RNAcentral lists this ribosomal RNA (440 nucleotides) under uncultured bacterium. RNAcentral describes it as "partial 16S ribosomal RNA". It matches the Rfam family "Bacterial small subunit ribosomal RNA", at positions 338 to 795 of the family's 1533-position model. The record is from RNAcentral.